RNAcentral lists this RNase P RNA (413 nucleotides) under Candidatus Omnitrophota bacterium. RNAcentral's name for it is "RNase P RNA component class A". It matches the Rfam family "Bacterial RNase P class A". From Rfam's summary of the family: Ribonuclease P (RNase P) is a ubiquitous endoribonuclease, found in archaea, bacteria and eukarya as well as chloroplasts and mitochondria. Its best characterised activity is the generation of mature 5'-ends of tRNAs by cleaving the 5'-leader elements of precursor-tRNAs. The record is from RNAcentral. Lineage: Bacteria; Pseudomonadati; Candidatus Omnitrophota.
GGGCGGAUAGAACGUAGCCACCCCCGCACCAAUUUGUUUAUAGCGAAGGCUAUAUUCCCAAUUGGUGCGGGGGAGGAAAGUCCGAGCUCCACAAGGGAAGCGUAGUGGGUAACUCCCACCCAUUCUGCUUUAGCAGGGUGAGGAUUAGAGCUACAGAGACGAGUAAGGGUUAACACCCCGAAGUGAAACGGGCAAUCUCUACGCGGAGCAAGGCCAAAUAGUCCCGCCUAUCCUGUUUUAGCAAUAAAACAGGGAAAGAUACCCUUUCAUAUUCCUCUGAAGAAAUUUAGAGGAUAGGCGGGAGGGUUGGCUGCUUGAUACCGCUGGCAACAGCGGUACUCAGAGAAAUGGCUACUUUGGAUAGCGGUUAUUCGCAAUUGACACAGAACUCGGCUUAUUCUAUCCGCCCUUAC